Molecule: ribosomal RNA, 301 nt
Filed under: uncultured bacterium
Lineage: Bacteria
Description: partial 16S ribosomal RNA
Rfam family: Bacterial small subunit ribosomal RNA
Source: RNAcentral
CAGCCGCCGCGGGAAAACGGAGGGGGCUAGCGUUGUUCGGAAUUACUGGGCGUAAAGCGCACGUAGGCGGCUUUGUAAGUCAGAGGUGAAAGCCCGGGGCUCAACCCCGGAAUUGCCUUUGAGACUGCAUCGCUUGAAUCCAGGAGAGGUGAGUGGAAUUCCGAGUGUAGAGGUGAAAUUCGUAGAUAUUCGGAAGAACACCAGUGGCGAAGGCGGCUCACUGGACUGGUAUUGACGCUGAGGUGCGAAAGCGUGGGGAGCAAACAGGAUUAGAUACCCCCGUAGUCCCUGUCUCUUAUAC